This 852-nucleotide ribosomal RNA is filed under the name uncultured bacterium. RNAcentral describes it as "bacterial SSU rRNA". It matches the Rfam family "Bacterial small subunit ribosomal RNA", at positions 55 to 925 of the family's 1533-position model. The record is from RNAcentral.
AUGCAGUCGACGAGGACGUGGCCUUCGGGCCGCUUCCUAGUGGCGAACGGGUGAGUAACACGUGAGGAACCUGCCCCGGAGACCGGGAUAACUAGGGGAAACCCUGGCUAAUACCGGAUGCCCUCGGAUGGUCGCAUGGCCGACCGAGGAAAUGCUCAGGUGCUCCGGGAGGGCCUCGCGGCCUAUCAGCUAGUUGGCGGGGUAACGGCCCACCAAGGCAUCGACGGGUAGCUGGUCUGAGAGGACGAUCAGCCACACUGGGACUGAGACACGGCCCAGACUCCUACGGGAGGCAGCAGUGGGGAAUAUUGCGCAAUGGGCGAAAGCCUGACGCAGCAACGCCGCGUGGGGGAUGAAGGCCUUCGGGUUGUAAACCCCUUUCAGCAGGGACGAAAAUGACGGUACCUGCAGAAGAAGCCCCGGCCAACUACGUGCCAGCAGCCGCGGUAACACGUAGGGGGCGAGCGUUGUCCGGAUUUAUUGGGCGUAAAGAGCUCGUAGGCAGUUGCGUAAGUCGGAUGUGAAAACUCAGGGCUCAACCCGGAGACGCCAUUCGAUACUGCGCUGACUAGAGUCCGGUAGGGGAGCAUGGAAUUCCUGGUGUAGCGGUGAAAUGCGCAGAUAUCAGGAGGAACACCAGUAGCGAAGGCGGUGCUCUGGGCCGGUACUGACGCUGAGGAGCGAAAGCGUGGGUAGCGAACAGGAUUAGAUACCCUGGUAGUCCACGCCGUAAACGUUGGGCACUAGGUGUGGGGCCUACUUAACGGGUUCCGUGCCGUAGCUAACGCAUUAAGUGCCCCGCCUGGGGAGUACGGCCGCAAGGCUAAACUCAAGGAAUGACGGGGGCCCGCA